Molecule: long non-coding RNA, 300 nt
Filed under: Sorghum bicolor (sorghum)
Lineage: Eukaryota; Viridiplantae; Streptophyta; Magnoliopsida; Poales; Poaceae
Description: long non-coding RNA (SBIC_LNC001862)
Source: RNAcentral
GACCAGGGAGUUAGGGAAUUUGGAAGUCCAAGAAUUAGAUGUGAAGAACCAAUCAAGCCUUUCUAGAAGAGGAGGGAACUGUUUAUUAGUCCAAGUAAAGUGUCUUCCAUGUAGUGGUAAUUCAAUCAGCCCAAGCCUACUGAUAGCCUCAUUGAAGGCAAACAUUUCAUUUGGAUUAGCCCCUUCUUUAUUCCUAUCUUCUGGCCUUCUGAUUAGGUUGAAAUCCGCCACCACCAACCAAUCAACAUCAUCAGGCAUAUCAAUCCCACCAAACCAGUUUAGGAAUUCCAUCUUUCCAGC